GGGUCCAAAGACCGACGUAGCGAGGAGAGGAAGAGGAAGAGGAAGUUGGGGGAGGGUCCUAGCGGGGAGUGAACCGGAAGCGUAAGCGCUCCUGCUUCUCGGCCAGGCGGAACCUGCUCUGCUGGGCCCAGUAGCCGCAAAAGAACUUUCUUUCUCCCGCCCGAACGGUCGCUGCGGCCAACUGCCUCGCCCGCCUGGCAGCCUAACCCGCCUUCUCUUCUCUCCGGCUUCGCGCGGCCCUGUCUCCCUGUCGCCCGGCGGUAUCCGCUUGCUGCUGCCACCGCCUCCUCGUCUUCUGCCCGGCCAACCGGCCUGCCCUGGCUGCAGUGAUGUGCGACAAGGAGUUCAUGUGGGCCCUGAAGAACGGAGACUUGGAUGAAGUGAAGGAUUAUGUGGCCAAGGGAGAGGACGUCAACCGGACACUAGAAGGUGGAAGGAAGCCUCUUCAUUAUGCAGCAGAUUGUGGGCAGCUUGAAAUCCUGGAAUUUCUCCUGCUGAAAGGAGCAGAUAUUAAUGCUCCAGAUAAGCACCAUAUUACCCCUCUUCUGUCUGCUGUCUAUGAGGGUCAUGUUUCCUGUGUGAAAUUGCUUCUGUCAAAGUGCAGCACCAUAAGCCUUGAAGAACACCAGUGGACCUCUACAAAGUGCCACCAGUGAUGCUGGAAGUGCUCCCAGAAAGUCACGACAUAACAAGAAAAAGUUGAAUUGCUCGCUAUAUACCACAUAGUGAGGUCUGCCGCUGCGGCUGCCUGCCAUUUCAGACGGACAAUUCAUCCUGUAAACAGGCAGCAUAAACUUACAGCAUCGCUGAAUACGGCUAAUCCCUGAGAUCACUCAUGGAGAGCCGUGAUGCUUUGGGCUAGAAGAGCCAGAAAGGAGAAUGGGUCAGGUCACUUGUCCGGGCUGGAGUCCACAGGGCUGAGACCAGGGUGAGAGAAGCUUUUUGCCUCAGAUAUAAAAUGUAAGGGGGCACCAAAAACUCAGCCAUCAAGAUAAACAAUACUGUAAUGCAAUAUUUUUAAAAAUCAAAAUGAAUACAAAACAAUCCAGGAUGAACAAACUGCCAACAUUUCAAAUAAAGACAGGAUCAAUAUUAUUGAUUUUUCUUUUUGCCUCAGGUCCCAAUACAGCUCAAUACAACACCGUUACUGAUCCUGUCUUUCUUUACAAUGUUCAUCCUAGAUUAUUUGUGCAUUAAUUUUGGGCUUUGUAAAUACUGCCUUCAAAUGUUAUUUAACUUGAUUUCUGAGGUUUGGGGUGCCCCAUUAGGUUCUGGGCCCGAGAUUAAGUGUCUCACUCUUCUCACUCUCCUUGUGUUGCUCCAGUUCCCUCACCUUCCUUUGACGCCCUAACUCAUUUCCAUUUCUUUUAGACUCUUAUCUCCCCUUCGUGGCUGUACAGAGGGAAGGCACAGAAGCUGGCAUCUCUAGAUGGUCCUGCUUCCGUUUACAAGCCUUCCUGACGUUCUCUGGGCUCAGCGCUGCCUGUUUCCUGGGCUUGUUUUAUACGCCAGCUCCCUCUUGCUCUGAUCCCAUCAUCACCGGGGCCCUUCCAGCCUGUGACCCCGCAUUACCUGCAGCAGGAGGCCCUCAGAGCUCCUGUGUGCCAGCUGUUUUUUUCCUCUUCUGAAGGAAUUGAUUCCCCGUGACCCCCUGAGCUGUAAUCUCAUCAGGCUGGAAUAACUUGACACUGCCAUUUGUCUGAAACAGAAGUCGUUUGUCUUCCAAACCACAGGGCUGGGGCUGUCACCAAUUCUGCCCCUUGACCUCCUCUCGGAGGACUGUGACCACUCCAUCAGCUGCUUUUGCCUCGCCUGGGAGAGAUUCCAUUAACCAGCAGGGAAGGAGAAAAACGCCCAGCCGAGAGUGAAGGGGCGCUGCAGGCACUGUUCUUGCUGAGGGCGCCUCUCCACCUGCAGGGGAGCCUGCUCACCGUGCUGGCCCCGGAGCCGGGACAGAGCUCUGCACAGGAUGCUGACUACAAGCACUGAGGGGCCUUCAGAGCCCUGCAAACGCCACAGAAGGUACGACUGUCAGCAAGGACACCAGACCUUGAGUGACUGACCUCUUUACAGCAGCACGUGGUAUUGCCAUUAGAAGCCUCACAACACUGUGUUGCAACCCCGGGAGCACCAUGUGAGGUGCAAGGAAAACUGGGGCCAAGUCCAAGGCUGCCCGUUAGCAGCUGUGCGACCUUGGGCACUUUGGGCCUCAGCGGCUUGACCUCCGUGAUGGGAACAAUAACAACCUCCCCUGCUAUUUCAGGGGACGGCUAAGACAGUAAAAUGAGUUAGUUGUGGAAAUGUUUAAAAACUCUACUGCACCAAACAAGUGUAACAUAUUAUUUUGAUAGUUAUCUAACCAAAAGUAAUUGCUAGGCACUUUCAACAUGCAACACCAAGGCAAGAGAUUGCCCCCAGACAAUAGGCAAGACAAGGGGGCCACUGUCUUAGCACAGGACUCGGGCUGUGGCAGUGGAGACACUGCAGGAAGCACAAGAGUAUAAGGUCCCAGCCUCUUGUCUCUCUCACCCUGUUGCUUGCUGGGACUCCACACCCACUGUGGCUGAAUCGGGAGAGACCUGAGCCACGUAGCAAGAGAAGCACCAUGAUCCAGCACGCCAUGGAGGAGCCCCGGGUGCUGUCCGGGGACAGAGAAGAUGCAACAGGAGCAAGGCAGCCCUGCAGAAGACGAGAAGGGGGUCCGAGAGCAUCUUGCACAGAGAACAGGAAGCCCAGUGAGUAGUGGCUCCCUGGAGCCAAAGAUGACCAGAAUGUUCCCAUGUGGCAGGACCUGGCCUAUGAGAGCAUAUAAAUCUAUAGUGCAUGUGACCAAGUGUCAGGACAUUGGGUUUUCCUUUUGUGGCUACCCAGCAAUUGAAUCCCAUUACAGCACAUUUUAUUGUGCUUCUAAGUGGAAAGCAGAGCCUUCUUCCAUUAGAGAUACUGGAAAAAAAAAACAAAAGCCAAAUAGUCAUUUUCCCAGCCUCCCUUGCAUCUAGGCCCAGACAAUCAGGCCUUAGGACAUACACAAAGAAAAGAGGCAAAGCAUCCUUUGGGCAGUGCGGCCACAGCCAUGGCAGCAGCUUCGAAUGUCUGAGGGCAGGGAUGUCCAGCGCCCUGGGCCAGCCGCUGGGAUGGUACAAACAGAGGUGUCCAGCAAUGGUGAAAGCAGUUGUAGGGGCCUCACCAGGCUGUUUUCUGGAAUGCAAUUUAGAUUGUAGUCCUAGCUGAUGCCUAAUCUCUUCUUGUUCAUACCUGAUUUCCAAACCUGGUUCUAUGACCUUCUGUUUUGGGCUGAAUAUUUGUGUACCCUUGAAAUUCAUAUGUUGAAGCCCUAACCCCAAAUGUGAUGGUAUUUGGAGGUGGGGCCUUUGAGAGGUGAUAGAUUAGGGCAUGAGAGUGGGACCCUCAUGAUGGGAUUAGUGCCUACAAGAAGAGGAAGGCAGAGAUAGAAGUAGACAGGACAGGUCUCUCUCUCUCUCUUCUUCCCCCCUGCCCCCAGGGAAACACCGCUUGAACACUCAGUCUACAAGCCAGGAGGAGAGCCCCCACCAGGAACCAAAUCUGCCCUGCCAACACCUUGAUCUUGGACUUCCUAUCCUCCAGAACUGUGAGGAAUAAACGUCUGCUGUUUAACCUGCCCAGUCUACAGUAUUUUGUUACAGCAGCCUAAGCUAAGACACCUUCCUAGAGGUUCCUUGACCUGUCUAAUCUCCAUUCAAUAAAUCUCUUAACCAUACACAUCAGCAGCAGUAGUUUCUGUUGUUUGUCUUGAAGAAGUGUGGAUGACACACCAAGUCAAAGAAGUAUCACAGACCCACACUGCUGAUCCCUGAGGGCUCAGGAACACAAUGGCCAUUAGGUGCCAACACAGCUUUUCAGAGGCCCUGAAAUACCGACUUAGGGCUUGAUGCAAGGAACAUGCCCUGUUGCCCAAGCCACACAGUGCAAGGUGUGAAACUCCCUGCAGGAGGGGAAUAAAAUAACAAACAU
Lemur catta (Ring-tailed lemur) is the source of this 3993-nucleotide RNA transcript. It is a transcript of the gene named myotrophin, with no coding region annotated. NCBI's taxonomy places the organism in Eukaryota, Metazoa, Chordata, Mammalia, Primates, Lemuridae. The transcript is spliced from 5 exons. The record is from RefSeq and is a predicted model, not a curated record.